UGAGUGACUUAGAGGACUUCAAACCGUC
This 28-nucleotide non-coding RNA is filed under the name Mus musculus (house mouse). Lineage: Eukaryota; Metazoa; Chordata; Mammalia; Rodentia; Muridae. The record is from RNAcentral.